This 378-nucleotide unclassified non-coding RNA is filed under the name plant metagenome. RNAcentral's name for it is "partial contains 5.8S ribosomal RNA, internal transcribed spacer 2, and large subunit ribosomal RNA". The stretch from base 1 to 105 matches the Rfam family "5.8S ribosomal RNA", at positions 50 to 154 of the family's 154-position model. The record is from RNAcentral.
GAAAUGCGAUAAGUAAUGUGAAUUGCAGAAUUCAGUGAAUCAUCGAAUAUUUGAACGCACCUUGCGCUCCUUGGUAUUCCUUGGAGCAUGCCUGUUUGAGUAUCAUGAAAUCUUCAAAGUAAAUCUUUUGUUAACUCAAUUGGUUUCUACUUUGGUAUUGGAGGUCUUUGCAGCUUCACACCUGCUCCUCUUUGUUCAUUAGCUGGAUCUCAGUGUUAUGCUUGGUUCCACUCGGCGUGAUAAGUUAUCUAUCGCUGAGGACACUGUAAAAGGUGGCCAAGGUAAAUGCAGAUGAACCGCUUCUAAUAGUCCAUUGACUUGGACAAUACUUUUAUGAUCUGAUCUCAAAUCAGGUAGGACUACCCGCUGAACUUCAGC